AAUGCCUGCUAGCAUAACAAUGCACCUUGGUUUCGGCCCGAGGAGCGCCGGUCUUCGGCAGCAAGUUUUUU
Molecule: transfer RNA, 71 nt
Filed under: Tubifex tubifex (sludge worm)
Lineage: Eukaryota; Metazoa; Annelida; Clitellata; Tubificida; Naididae
Description: tRNA-Arg
Source: RNAcentral